GUAAAUCUACUUAUACAUCUAUACAAUCGAACCCACUAACAAAUAAUAUAAAUAAAAUAAAAUAAAUCCCUAAUGAUUAAUACUCCCUCAGUCCCGCAAAAGAGGAUUGAAGUACCCAAAAAAAUAAGACUUUUAAAGUACACAAUUCAAAUGCAAAAUGUUACUCCCUCCGUCCAAGUUUACUUGUUCUAAUUUUUUUUUCGGUUUGUCCAAAUCUACUUAUCCUCUUUCCAUUUUAAUAAUAUUUUUGACCUUAUUUUUUCAAUACCACCCUCAUUUAACUUUUUAAAAAAAUUAUUGAAAACUUCAUGACAUACAUUGAAAAGAGUAACACUAUUAACUUUGACAUUGGAAGCAUAACCAUACUCCUUUUUUCUCCUCUCUCUCUCUCCUCUAUUUUAUUAUUUUAAUAAAG
RNAcentral lists this long non-coding RNA (415 nucleotides) under Panax ginseng (ginseng). RNAcentral describes it as "long non-coding RNA (PGIN_LNC017976)". The record is from RNAcentral. Lineage: Eukaryota; Viridiplantae; Streptophyta; Magnoliopsida; Apiales; Araliaceae.